This 492-nucleotide ribosomal RNA is filed under the name uncultured bacterium. RNAcentral's name for it is "partial 16S ribosomal RNA". It matches the Rfam family "Bacterial small subunit ribosomal RNA", at positions 29 to 507 of the family's 1533-position model. The record is from RNAcentral.
AGUGAACGCUGGCGGUAGGCCUAACACAUGCAAGUCGAACGGCAGCACAGUAAGAGCUUGCUCUUACGGGUGGCGAGUGGCGGACGGGUGAGGAAUACAUCGGCAUCUACUUUUUCGUGGGGGAUAACGUAGGGAAACUUACGCUAAUACCGCAUACGACCUACGGGUGAAAGCAAGGGAUCUUCGGACCUUGCGCGAUUGAAUGAGCCGAUGUCGGAUUAGCUAGUUGGCGGGGUAAAGGCCCACCAAGGCGACGAUCCGUAGCUGGUCUGAGAGGAUGAUCAGCCACACUGGAACUGAGACACGGUCCAGACUCCUACGGGAGGCAGCAGUGGGGAAUAUUGGACAAUGGGCGCAAGCCUGAUCCAGCCAUACCGCGUGGGUGAAGAAGGCCUUCGGGUUGUAAAGCCCUUUUGUUGGGAAAGAAAAGCAGCAGGUGAAUACCCCGCUGUUCUGACGGUACCCAAAGAAUAAGCACCGGCUAACUUCGUG